Molecule: ribosomal RNA, 301 nt
Filed under: uncultured bacterium
Lineage: Bacteria
Description: partial 16S ribosomal RNA
Rfam family: Bacterial small subunit ribosomal RNA
Source: RNAcentral
CAGUCGCCACGGUAAUACGUAGGGUGCGAGCGUUAAUCGGAAUUACUGGGCGUAAAGCGUGCGCAGGCGGUUAUAUAAGACAGAUGUGAAAUCCCCGGGCUCAACCUGGGACCUGCAUUUGUGACUGUAUAGCUAGAGUACGGUAGAGGGGGAUGGAAUUCCGCGUGUAGCAGUGAAAUGCGUAGAUAUGCGGAGGAACACCAAUGGCGAAGGCAAUCCCCUGGACCUGUACUGACGCUCAUGCACGAAAGCGUGGGGAGCAAACAGGAUUAGAUACCCCAGUAGUCCCUGUCUCUUAUAC